This 286-nucleotide long non-coding RNA is filed under the name Elaeis guineensis (African oil palm). Its description in RNAcentral is "long non-coding RNA (EGUI_LNC053598)". Lineage: Eukaryota; Viridiplantae; Streptophyta; Magnoliopsida; Arecales; Arecaceae. The record is from RNAcentral.
AUGGCGUGGUGGUCAUGUUUGGUGCUCAGCUAGUCGGGAGAGGCCUAUGUUAUCAGAGUUGGCAAAAUGAAGCCGUCAAGGAGUGGUAUCCCAUCGUCGACUAGCGUAGUCGGCCGUACGUCGAAUAGAAAGUCGGUUACAGGCUGAGCACUAUUGAGUAUAAGCGGCUGUGGGGUGGCAUGUUAACUCUAAUCGGCCUGGUGCCGACCAAGAGUGAGCUGCCUUUAGUCGGUCGGGUACUGUUAGAGGCUGUCAUUGAGCCGAUUGGACAGGACUCAUUGAUCUG